UCCCUCCUAGCCCUAACAAACGACAGGGCUAGCGCCGCCACCCCUUCGUUCUCUUCCCCAGGCUGCCUCACCUUCGUUCUCUUCCCCGACGCCUGAAGCCAUGAGCGCCGCCGCGUCAUCAAACCUUCAAAACUGCUCCAUCUUGCGAUGAUCAGGGGCUGUCCACGGAUACCAACUCUGCGGCGAAUUCCUCCUUGAAUUUGUACCAGCUAGGCCCCGACGACUGCGCCCACAGCGUGCCGACACAAAGUUCAAGAUCAAGGAUCAACUGGCCAACAUGUGCGACGGCGGGCAUGCGCUUAUGUGUUCCCGAGGUCAGGAGCCGAGGAGGACAGUGGCUGCACACCUACGGUUCUGGCUGGCAAAGCAUGGCUGCACCGUUAUCGAGCACACAGAUGGGCAUGCGUCCACUGCCGGCGCCAGGCGGUGGCCGACACUAGCUUGGCGUGGCAGUUCAUCUGUUGCCCAUGCGUGUCAGGUUUGUUGCUCGCUCGUAUUAAUUAUUUCAUUCCAUCAUGUAAAUACGGCCAACCUGUAUAAUCAAAAUGCCCGCUUUGCUCAUUACAUAAUUUUUCUUAGGGAAUAACGCACUAAACGAAACAUGCUUUAUGCAAAAAAGAGAGCAAAUGAGGGCCAGAUAGAUAAACCUUUUUUUCAAAAAAAAAAAGAGAGCAAAUGAGGGCCAAAUGGCCAAAUCAGGUGGGACGGGUGUUUGCGUCGAACGUGAGGGUCUGGCCGUUUGCGUGGAACAGGUGAGAGAGGGGGAGUGCAUCCACAAGUGCAGGCUCAACAAGCACCAUGUACCAGCACAACUAUCGUCAUUAUGAGCACCUCAAUGUUAUCAACAUCCAGAGUCCUUCAAACAGGCAUGUGCAUAUUCUUGGAAAUUUGGAGUUGGAGAUGGAGGAAAGGGAAAGAGAAGAGACGAAAGUGGACUUAUUUUAUUGGAUUCACGUCCCUUUGGUUCCUUCUUGCUGCAAGGGUAGAUCUCGGUUGAUUGCCACACCCAGUAGUAGGUCAGAUGCUCAUUUCAAACUCUAUAUGAGUAAUUUGGUUCAUAAUUUGGUUGUGGCACCCACAUGAAACUUGUAGAUAAUCUCCUGCUGAUAUUCAUAUUAUUCUCAGUUGCUUGAUUUGGUGAAGUACAUUAAGAUUUACAGUAUCUUGGUGAGGGCCAGCUGGAACAUGCUGGCGAAUAACGCAUUUUAGGGUCCUGGAGGAGCGACACUGCCUAGGCGCGGUGGACGAUUCCCUGUGACGGGAUUAUGGUUUUUUUGCUUGCCUGUUCCCAAAGAGAUGAUUUUUCUUCGUUUUUGGUUUUGGAUACUGAAUUUAGGAUAGCAGGAACAAUGUUACUGCCAGACCGGUAGGAGUUGGACAUACUUGAUGAAGCUUUUUGCUGAUUGCAAAUUAGGUAUUUGCAAAUCAGUAGUGAACACUCUGUGUUGUUGUUCCAGAAAAGUAAGUAUCAGCAGUUUAUGUGACAUUUCAUGUCCGCUCCAUGAAGCAUUGUAUGCACACAGUAUAUUGAUGAUUUUAUUUUACCUUCAUAUCUGCUUAAUUUUC
Long non-coding RNA from Triticum dicoccoides, 1566 nucleotides. RefSeq lists it as uncharacterized. The transcript has 4 exons. NCBI's taxonomy places the organism in Eukaryota, Viridiplantae, Streptophyta, Magnoliopsida, Poales, Poaceae. The record is from RefSeq and is a predicted model, not a curated record.